RNAcentral lists this transfer RNA (67 nucleotides) under human gut metagenome. It matches the Rfam family "tRNA", at positions 7 to 64 of the family's 71-position model. Rfam says of the family: Transfer RNA (tRNA) molecules are approximately 80 nucleotides in length. Their secondary structure includes four short double-helical elements and three loops (D, anti-codon, and T loops). The record is from RNAcentral.
AUUGUAGUUCAGUUGGUAAGAAUGCCUGAUUGUGGCUCAGGCGAUCACGGGUUCGAGUCCCGUCUUU